This 1929-nucleotide long non-coding RNA is filed under the name Nicotiana tabacum (common tobacco). RNAcentral describes it as "long non-coding RNA (NTAB_LNC015357)". The record is from RNAcentral. Lineage: Eukaryota; Viridiplantae; Streptophyta; Magnoliopsida; Solanales; Solanaceae.
UGACUUGAAUUUAUAUCUCCACAUGAUGGGAGUGACAGGAAUAUAAGUCUUCACGUGAUGGGAGUGAUAAGAAUGUAAAUCUCUACGCGAUGGUAGUGACAGUAAUUUAAAAUCUCCACGCGAUGGGAGUGACAUGAAAGAAAAUCUCUACAUGAUGGGAGAGGCAUGAAAGAAAAUCUCCACACGGUGGGAGUAUUUUAUUGAUUUUUUGAAAAACAAGACCAAACCCGAAGGUUGCCUACGUAUCUCGUCGAAAUGAGAAUUAGCUCAAGCGUAGUUUAGACUUGAUCUUUCAAAAUGAGAAUCAGCUCAAGCCUACAUAUCUCAUCGAAAUGAUCCUUUCAAAAGGAUCUUCGGUCAAUUGUGACCCAAGUGGCCAUAGUUGACUGAUUUGUGCAGCUAAGGACGAGGAAAACUUGACCCAUAACAGGUUGCCUACGUAUUUUUACACAAGGUCAAGAAUCAGGCAUGUGUAGUUCGUGAAUAUUGGAGAGUAUAAGAUGUAUGAUUCACAUAAGUCUUUCCUCUCCUAUUUUGGCUUUUUGACAUAUUUGAAACAAUGAAUAUUGACACCACUAAAGAUAUCUAGAAAAAUGUAAGGGUAUAGAUAAACUCGGAGCGAUGCCUCAUUGUAUCCAUGAUUGGUUGUGAUAUCUUUGAAGUUGAAUUAUGACUCCAUCCAGAAGAUGUGCCCCAAUUGCUCCUUCAAACAGUUGCUUCGAUGCCCUCUUACUAUUUGUGAGACAGUUGUUGUGGUUGUCUCCCAAUUCACUGCAUGGACGAUUUGUUGCGAUCUUCAAGCUCUGAACAGGAGCCUUUUUUACAUCACCCCUGCUUGUAGCCAGGGCGAUUAAACAAAAGACAAAAAUUCCAAUCGUGUUAAGUAUUAAUGAUGCAAUCGUGUGAAGCAGCAUAACCAAGAUAAGCAAAAGAAAAAAAUUCCAAUCAAAGUGUGGCCUUAAAAAUUUGAAGAAUAAUCAAGGAUCCAAGGACCUGGAUGGCUUCUCAAAAUAUAACGAAGCAACGACAAAGACAGUAACAAUCAACGAUUAAACAAAACUAGAAUUAUCAGUCGCAAAAAGAAACUUUCGUCCAACACAAUCAUCAGUAAUAAAGAGACAGCCUCAGAAAAGUAACAAUAUCCAAAUAGAUGUAUUAGUAGUAAAAUCGUACAGAGAGGAAUGACGGGGUCACUAAAGUCAGUCGCCAAGCGAUAAAGAAUUAACUCGCCGAUUCCGGCUACCUCCGGCCAUGUUGUCGGCAAGCCAAAACAUCGACAGAUUGGAACAACAUUAAGAGCAACGAAUCAAUACCCAAAGUGGAGAGAAAUAGAGUUAGGUUUAAAAGAGGGUCGCCGAAACAAUGGGCCAAAUACAUGGUUCAUCGGAGUUGUAUUUUUCCGGCUAAACCCAGUAACAAAUGAGUACGCCUAGCCCUUUAAUGGUGUACUUGGAACGAAGAGAGACGAGAAAAAUAGAAGAAGAUAACAAAUCUAGGGUCGUUAAAAUAGUAAAUUCCAUCUAGAUCUCAGGAAAAAUCGACCAAAACUUUGAAAUAGAGCUACAUAUAUGAAGGAUCAUGGUGGGUAGUUCUAUUUCAGGGGCAAGAUCUAUUGAAUCCGACCAUUUCAGCGAGGUUUGUUGACAUUAAUGUUCGCUAGUGGCUGGCUAGUCCGGUGACGGGUCAACUUCCAUAUAGAGAGAGGGAUGAGGAAGAGAGGAGGCAGUGAAGUCGCCUGCCAUAGCCGGUGAUCAAUUCCUAUGGGCGGGAGAGAGUGAAGUGGCACAACCAAUUGGAGGGAAUCAGAGGGGAGGUGGCUUCCUUCUUUAGAGAGAAUGAUAGAGGUCCCAAAAUAAAUUAGUAUUUUCCCACAUAUAAAUCUAAUAUGGUGUCCCCAUUGUAUGUAGUGUGUAAGUAUUUGUUUUAUAU